Molecule: small RNA, 27 nt
Filed under: Bombyx mori (domestic silkworm)
Lineage: Eukaryota; Metazoa; Arthropoda; Insecta; Lepidoptera; Bombycidae
Description: ovarian small RNA-13011
Source: RNAcentral
CACCUUGUUGAUGUUCUUAGCACAGAC